This is a long non-coding RNA of Diachasmimorpha longicaudata, 7427 nucleotides long. RefSeq lists it as uncharacterized. NCBI's taxonomy places the organism in Eukaryota, Metazoa, Arthropoda, Insecta, Hymenoptera, Braconidae. The record is from RefSeq and is a predicted model, not a curated record. The transcript has 3 exons.
UAUUUUCUUUUUUUCAUGAAGGAUUUUUCGAGCAGGGAAAGGUCGGAGACCUCCUGUUGCCAGGUAGACGGUAUAGCCCGGGGGAUUGUUUGGAGAGGAAUCUUUGUUGCAAGAUUUUCAAGGCUCCAGGGUUCGAAUAACUUCGAAAAAUAAACCGAUGACAAUCUGUGAAGUUUUUGGAAGGAAGGACGUUUUUUUUUGAGGUUUUGAGAUACAGUUCGAUCAUCGACGAUUUUUCACUCGCACUCUCGGUCUCGCAACUUUCCAUCGCAUCUAUUUCUUUGGUGAAUUGAUUCAUCGAAAUUUCAUGAAGAAAAACAGUUACUUUAGACAAUUGUAGAAACUUUUCGGAUCCAACAAAAUUACCUGAAGUGACACAUUUGGAGCUGAUAAUCAAGAAAUUUGGAGCAUGAAAUUCAAUCACAUAGUCACGGAUCCUCUCAUGUACACAAGACUCAUCCAGGCAGUGAAAAAUGCAUCAGAAAUUACUUACACAUUCGGCAACUGUUUUGGAGUUUGGUCGUUCCUGAAAAAUUACUGUAACGUUCAGCAAAAUUUGGUUGACUGUAUAGUAAAAAUUAUUCAAUCGAAAAUAAUUACCGGACCGUUGGACAAUUUUUACCAAACAGAUUAAUAAACUUCAUCAAGGAGUCGAUAAAUUGGACUGGGCGCUGUGAUAAUUUUCCACUGACCAGAACAUCACACGAUUGCCAAAUGACAAAAUCAUUUUUACUGAAUUUUUUCCUCUGUGCAGGUAUAAGAAAGUCUUUUCAAAAAUAUUUGAAAAAUGUGUACAAGCAAUCAUUUGAUCCUGACACUGUUAAAAAUUUUUUUUAAUUUCAAUUCUUUCCACUAACCAAUGGAUUUCGGUUUUACAGUCCAUUUUCUCAAUCACAAAUAGAAUAACACAAGAUUGGAAUAUUUGGAUUGUUCCCCAGGGGUGAGACUAACAUAAUUCCCCUUUCUUUUCAUCCACGUGGGUAUUUUUGUGAGCUGGAAAACACGAAACACCGAGAAAAUACCUCGUUAUUAACGAUGACUCACACGUUUGCAUUGAUCAGAAGACCAUGUGUUCUCCGAACGCUCUAUACCCUCGUUCUUUACAAUUUUUUUUGCAUUGACGGUCAUUGGUGCAUCGACUCGUCGUAAUUUAAGGGAGUGAUGAGGAUUCAACGAGUUUCGUUCUCUUGGAUGGCAUUCUCGUGAAAAAAUGCACUUUGGCAACGACAAAUUGAAAGGAAUGGAGAAAUAGGGACGAAGAUGUUGAGGGUUUAUAUUUAGAAUUUUGAAUAUAUGAACCGGGUUAUGUGGACGUCUGGCGGGCAGCAACAUUCAGCUUAUCAAAAUGCUGCAAUGUGGGCAGAAAUAACUUUUAUUCUGAUUUUUAUUCAAUUUUAUUGUGAUGCAAUUAGGAAUAGUGGCAGGCAAAUUACCCAAUGGGGAAAAAAUUAUUUACAUUACUCAAAUUUUUCAGUAAUAAAGUUCUGCUGGUAAUAUGUACUACUUUUUCGGUUUGGAAAAAAGAAAAUUAUUGAUUUUCAGGGUUUGCCGGGCAUUCAAUCGGUAGUCUAUUUUAAAAAAUGCAAAUUUGCGGGAGGUUUUAACAGUUGCAAGUCGAGGGUAUUUCUUGCUUCGCGCAAUUAACCUAGAUAAUUAGCAAAUAAACUGGUAAAUAAAAUGCUGAGCGUUUUAUAGAUGUUUCAGGGUUUUGUUAUUACUGGAUUCUCGCUGGCCUUCCAAAAUCCGUGUUUGCGCGGGAAAGAUGGUGAAUUGGUUGCCACUGAUUCACUAGUUUUCUUGGUUUAUGGGUUUUUUUAUAUCUCCAAUGAAGAAUAAUAUUUGCCAAAUUGACAAGCAUUAUAAAUUGUUUGUCUAUUUCUCAGGGUUCUUGUAGAGGCCAGCAGGGAAACAUUGAUUUCACUUCAGGAUGCUAUGGAAAUUUAUUGGAAGUUGUCCUUUCAUGAAAAUUUUGACAAUAUUACUUUUUCUAUUCCAUUUCUCUUUCUGAGUUGUUCCUGGAACGAUUUCGCAGCUAAUUCUAAUUCCAGAAAUUUUAUGGAGGAAUAGUUUUUUAAUUGAAUAGAAUAAACUGAACUCUAUAAAUAUUUGCUGAGCUUCAAGAGGAAUUGUCUUUUCUUGUGCUGAGAACGGUUUUUCACGAAUUGUUUCGGAGAAUAUUUUGGUUGUUGAGCCUCAUUAUUCAUGUUUCGGUAAAAUAGAGGACAGAAUCUGAAAUAUUGAGUGUUCGAUUGGUCACAAAGCGGUUUCAAUUUGAUUUAUGCAUUUUAAAAAUCGAUUUCAUUGGGGUUUUCCGGACUGUACAGGAUGAUGUAGCAAGUAGGAAAUGCGGAGACAGAAACCUCACGCAGCGAAUAACAAUAUUGAUUUGUUACUCAACCGACGCGAAUUCUCAGGAGCAACAUGAGUGGAAAUACUGAAAAUCCCAGUACUUCAUAGAAUCCUCUAUAAAUAAUAAUAUAGUUUGAAGAAGUGACCAUGUGGUUUGAUUUUUUUUUUCAAUCAAAGCAUUAAAACCUCUUUUGCAGCUGAUCAAGUUUUCUGUAAGAAAUAUUUUCCAUUAUCACAUUGCAGAUAAUUAACUCAAUGUGAAAGCCCAUAAAAUGGAAAAAUUGAAUUUUCUGAAAGGUUCACUCUUACAUUUUUUGAGAUUUCACAGUGACCUUUACGGAAAAAAAGUCAAAUAAUAUUCAUAUGAUGAAACACUUGAGAAAAACGUCAGUUGACACUCCCCGCCAAGAUGAUAAAAUAUUCACCGGGACGAGAAAUCUACUAGUUGCAUUUCAUCACUCUCCUCAUGACUAAUAAGAAUAGAAACCGAUGAAUCUAUGAAUGCAAUCCUCAUUAUUAUCGUCUCACAAGUGCUCUCUUCUCGCUGUCUUGACCGCGCAGCGUUCGAUUUGAGGGCCAUCUCCGAUGAAAAAUUCACUACUUGUCCUUGAAUGUAUAGAGACCCCGUAGAAGGAGAGCGUCUCUCUCAUCAAAGCACGACUAUUAUCCCUCGCGUGAGAAUAUUCACAACAUUGAAAUCGUUGUGAGGCUCAAUCGAAGCCAUUACCAUUUGGUUAACUCUAGUGCAUCGUUCCCCUUCUGAUCAUCCUACCGUGAUAACACCGGAGAGCGAAACAAUGUUAAUUAAGGAGAUCUGAAAAAACUUGGAAAUUAUCCCUUCUUAUGAAAUUUCUAAUUGAAGAUUUUUGUUGGUAAUAAUCAUCAUGCAAAUUAAUUAUUUCUGUCACUGCUGCCCACACCGAAAAGUAUAUUCUCAUUAAUGUGUGCUACCACUACUUUUAAUACUUUUAUUUACUAUUUAUCUAUUGGGACAUACUCUGGAGAACGUUAAUUAUGAAAAUGAUGAAACACCAUUCACCGAAUCCGUUUAUUAUUCAUGAACAUUGCUUAUAAAAUAGCAGAAAUGCUUGAAAUAAUUUGUAACAUCGUCUGAUUGCUUAAUAAACUCCUUCCGGUGAUCAAGUAUUGUACUGAAUUCAGAGCGUUGACAAGAGAUUUUAACAUAAAGUUUACGAUGAAAUUGAGACAAAGGCUUCUCUCAUGGCGACACCAAUUCAUUAAUUGUCAUUCAAACGAUUGCAGUCAUUAGCAUUUCUGAAUAUUCUCGACUCAAAUGCUAGAGGGCGUAGGUCACUCGUCGAUGUAGAUCACUCUAAUUCAUGAGAAACUCAAUGAUAAUUAGUAGAAAGAUCUUAAUAUACCUUCUGUCAUAACAACUGUCAUCUCUCUGCCAUCAAUCAAUUUGUAAUACAACAAUAAAUCACAGGAAAAAAUUAACCUUCUGCAAUUGUUGAUAUUAUUGAAUUAUUUAUGUUCACUGAGGAAAACCGUACAAUGAUUUUCAGUCUCUCAUUCUCAAGGUAUUUUUUUAACACCUGAAAAUUAAAUUUAACUGACCUCGAUAGUAUCAUCCACCCCAAACAUAUUUCCCCACCUUUUCUUGACAGCAGGAAGAGUAACCCAGGAAGUUAAAUGUGUAAUAUUCCCUAACUCAAGAUUCGCAGUAAAAAUAAAUUUUCUACCUUUUAAAUAAAUAAAAGUCCUGCUGUUUACAUCAUUUGCGCAGGAGAUACUGAUACUGGAAAAAUGAUCAAUUUGUUUUGAAUUUUUAAACUACACUAGAAGACAAUGAGGAAACUAAUCAAUGUCAAUAAAUGAACUUCCUUUUCAUUCCGUAGUUAAUAACAUGUUUCGAAAAAUUCUUCUGAUGUUUUUCAUUCUGUGGGAAUUUAUAACUUUGAUAAUUAGUCAGCCUCACAUUUUUUUUUCAUCGAUCUCUGAAAUACCCAAUAAUACGCCUGAAUGGCGAUUGAUCACACCCGAUUCCUUCUACGCCUGACGCGUCAUUAUGAACUCUCUUAUGACUUCAACAAUAUAGUAAUAUGCCUUGUCACGCACAGUUUGACGCCAAUAAUGCAGCCAACCACUUAGGCUUUUUUUUUUUUAUUAAUUGAUGAAAAUCGGUGAAACGUAGAUUGCUGGUGAUUAAGAUGCACUCGGAUUUUUCCGAUUCGUUUCAGCAAAAUGUAAAAAACAAGGCUGAAUUCAUUGUUUCUAGUUAUGGUUGUUAUAUUCUCUGGCUGGAUUGGAGAUCAUCAACUGAUAAAAUCCAGUUGAUACGUCAUACGACAGAAAGAAUUGACACAGCUAUGAUCUAUUGUGAUAUUGAGACAAGUGGGAUAAAGAUUUACUCCGGUUUUGGCAGUGUCGUGAUUGUUGAUGGACAAUUCAGAGAUAAAUAACGAGAUGUUUCAGAAAAAUUUCGGGACAGCUCUGUCGAAAUAACUACACGGAGAGAAAAAUUAUUGAAAAUAUACGUUCCUGCUCAGUAAUCUACUAAUUAAAAGAUUAUUCUGUAGUAAUGACUUUUACUAGGAUUUUUAUGUUUGAGAAUUUAAUAUUAAUAAGUGGAUUUUGAUACAAUAAUAAGACAAUAUGAUUUAAGCUCUGAAAUCGCGCGACAAUGAUAGACGAAUAUGUGCUACGUUGGAGGACAGUCAAAGGAGUGUCUCGUUGGCAGGUCAAGGCCCGAAUGUCCAAUUCCUCCGACUUUGUCCAUUCACCCCUGUGUGGUCCUUGGUUUGGGCCCGACGUCACUAGGGGGUGUCAAGCCCUCGUCCCUUCCCGUCGGGUCUCGGUUUUCCCUCGUCCCCGACCCAACGCAAAAUUUUCCCCGCUUUAAUUCGUAAAAAAUAGGGAACAGUUACGCACUUUUUCAGUGAACUUUUAGGAAAAAGUCCAGAACGUUCCAGAAAAAGUAUGAAAGUGGAUAAUUGUUCCGUAAUUUUGACUGGCAGAUUACGGAACCGGCACGUAAUUUUUUACCAAUUUUUCUUUUUUUGGAAAACAGCCCUUCCCUCCGAAGUUACAGAAAAAAUAUGUCAUUUUUACUGUCAGUAAAAAUGACAUUUUUUCUGUAAUUAAGUAUUAAUUACAGAAAAAUUAUUUAUUUGUAAUUAAUUAUUUCUCCAUGCAAUCUAUAUAAUCCACAUAAUCGUGUAAAACCCCAAUGUUACUAGGAAGUGCGGGUAAUCAAUACUCAGUCACAGCCUCAGGGGAUUCCCAGGAUAUCUCAUUUACGAUUUAAUUCCCCUGUUGUUGCAUUGAACCGAUUGAAUGAAUCAAAUCAUGCCAUCAGAUUAUUAAGAAAAACCUUCUUCACUAUUCGCGUACUCAGCCUGUGAAUAUCCAAUGAAUCCUUAUACUGCGUCAUCAUCCAGUAAUGCAAAUAUGGAAAACCUAUUGACCAGUCGAUAAAUUGUCAUUCGUGAAAAUAAAAAAAUAUGACAGUUCCUCUUUUAUUCUUUUUCGUUCUGCUCCGUUCCACUUCGUUUCGUGGUUUUGUUUCUUUAUUUAGGCGGUUGAGAAUAGGCCCUCGGUGUGUUAUUAUGUGGCUUAAAGUUUCUUCUCGUAUGUCAACACUAGUCAAAGACUUUUGUAGACAUAUAUGUGUACAUCCCGGAGGCCGUAGUUAUGCAAUGGAAUUAUGAGAGUUUCUCAAGUGUGUUUCUCGUCAAUGUACGCAAUCCACUGAUUCUGCUGAUGGUUCAAGGCCCCAUAGAUAGGAAACAGUGGGGCAUAAUGGACUGUCUGUCUUCAGCUGUUGAUGUCGUCUGCAAUUUUGUAGGGAAUGAAGAACAAAAAUGAUUCAUAUUUUGUUGCUGAUGUUAAAUUAAUUAACAUUUUCGUAAAUAUCGUUUGCAAAAAAUGUGCGUCUCCAAAAAAUGAGGUAAACAAAGAGAUGAUGACGUUGGCAUAAUCGUCACUAGUUCCUGAACGAACAGAAUUCGCAUGAGAUAAAGCUCUUUUUUAAACGAGAAAUAUGUUGAAAAUAAAGAAAAUGGGGAAUUUUACUGGUUCGUUGUGAAAUUAUUAAAGAUUAGAGACACACCGACUCUUGCCCCCGCCCCUGUGAAAAUAUUUUUACAUCAGGAACUUGAAAAUUGCUGCAGCUGUGGUUGAGAGACGAAAAAACUGGGUUAUAGGCAUCACGUGGCUGGCCCGUUCCCAUUACCCAAAAUAAAGUUCACGCCCGUGAGGUUUUGACAGUUGAAUACAGAUUGAUGCUCUUAAAAAAUGGAGAUUGAUUUUUUGGUUAUUUACGAAGGGGACAAAAGAAAGUUAAUGUUUCCUGCUCUAUAUCUCCUGGGUGAAUUUGACAAUUUGGGGAGAUUAUCUGAAAUUUGGGGAAGGGGGUAGAAGAUAAUUUUAUGUGCUAUAAAUGUCUAAUAAUCUCAGAAAGGCCAUAUUUUUUCUUUGGACUUCUGAGCUUUAGAAAAAAUUACCCGGCCAUUUGCUGCCCAGAGCACACGUUCACAAGAUAAAUUCUGAAUUAGAAGUUGUUCGAUCAAAAAGAAAAAAAACACUUCCUCAAUUUAAUGACUGCAGACACUUUUUUUACCCCCUCUGCAAAAAAUCGACGUGAUAUAUUUCUCUAUCUAUUGAUUGUUUCUAUAAUGAGCGAAAAAGCUUGACAACCGCACGAAUUUUGAUAAAGGAAAUACAGAUAAACAAAAAAUGUGCAGAAUGAAGUAAUAAAUGUAUGGUAUGGGAAUGUCGGAAAUAUGGUCAUGUUGAAAUCAUCUGCUCGCUAUCCAUUUACACAUUGACAUUACUUUGUUGAGUCACAUCUACCAUGACACAACCCAGUGCCUCAUUCACUGAUAAUGAAAAUGUCAGGCUUUCCCGCUCACCUGAUAUCGAAUAAUAAUUUACAUUUUUGCGUGAAAUGAAAAUAAAAUACAUUCGUCAUAGAAAUAAUCGUUUUCAAUUUAUUGAUAGGAAAACCCCUGAACAACAAAUUAUUCUUUUUUAAAAGACCAAGCCCUUGAGAUAAUUGAACUUUGAUUGUAAUGGGGUUCAUUAAAUUCCAAUGAUUUUCUCAUGAAACUAACCAU